CCUACGGGAGGCAGCAGUGGGGAAUCUUGCGCAAUGGGCGAAAGCCUGACGCAGCAACGCCGCGUGCGGGAAGAAGGCUUUCGGGCUGUAAACCGCUUUCAGCAGGAACGAAAAUGACGGUACCUGCAGAAGAAGGAGCGGCCAACUAUGUGCCAGCAGCCGCGGUGAUACAUAGGCUUCAAGCGUUGUCCGGAUUUAUUGGGCGUAAAGAGUUCGUAGGCGGUCGAGUAAGUCGGGUGUGAAAAUUCUGGGCUCAACCCAGAGACGCCACCCGAUACUGCUUGACUUGAGUUCGAUAGGGGAGUGGGGAAUUCCUAGUGUAGCGGUGAAAUGCGCAGAUAUUAGGAGGAACACCGGUGGCGAAGGCGCCACUCUGGAUCGAUACUGACGCUGAGGAACGAAAGCAUGGGUAGCAAACAGGAUUAGAUACCCUGGUAGUCCAUGCCGUAAACGGUGGGCACUAGGUGUGGGUUUCUAUUAACGAAAUCCGCGCCGUCGCUAACGCAUUAAGUGCCCCGCCGUCGGGUAGGUACGGUCGCAGACUAAACUACAAGAAGUAGACGGCGUGAGACGUGCCGACGACGACGACGAGGGAGUAGG
RNAcentral lists this ribosomal RNA (600 nucleotides) under uncultured bacterium. RNAcentral describes it as "bacterial SSU rRNA". The stretch from base 1 to 520 matches the Rfam family "Bacterial small subunit ribosomal RNA", at positions 338 to 873 of the family's 1533-position model. The record is from RNAcentral.